This 1340-nucleotide ribosomal RNA is filed under the name uncultured bacterium. RNAcentral describes it as "partial 16S ribosomal RNA". It matches the Rfam family "Bacterial small subunit ribosomal RNA", at positions 28 to 1381 of the family's 1533-position model. The record is from RNAcentral.
GACGAACACUGGUUCGCCGCUUAACACAUGCCAGUCAAACCGAAAGGCCCUGAUUGCACGGUACUCAAGUGGCGAACGGGAGACUAACACCUGGGGGAUCUGCCCUGCACUUCCCGACAAGCCUGGGAAACUGGCUCUAAUACCGGAUAUGAGCCAUUUUUAGUGUGCCGGCUGGAAAGUUUUUUCGGAGUAGGAUGAGCUCCCGGCCUAUCACCUUGUUGGUGGGGUAAUGGCCUACCAAGGCCGCUACGGGUAACCAGCCUGAAAGGGUGGACUGCCACAUUGGAACUGACAUACGGCCCACACUCCUACCGGAGGCAGCACUGGGGAAUAUUGCACAAUGGGCGCAAGCCUGAUGCAACGACGCCUCGUGGGGGAUGACGGCCUUCCGGAUGUAAACUCCGUUCUCUACGGACCAACCUUUUUGUGACCGUACCUAAAUAAUAAGCACCGGCUAACUACAUGCCAUCAACCGCCGUAAUACCUACGGUGCUACCGUUGUCCGGAAUUACUGGCCGUAAAUGGCUCACAGGUGGUUUGUCGAGUCAUCUGUCAAAUUCCGGCGCUUAACUCCGGGAGUGCAAGCGAUACUGACCUAGCUUGAUCACUGCACGGGCAACUGGAAUUCCUGGUGUAGCGGCGAAAUACUCACAUAUCAGGAGGAACAUCGAUGCAGAAGGCAGGUUCCCGGGCAGUUACUGACGCUGAGGAGCGAAAGCAUGGGUAGAGAACAGGAUUCGAUACCCUGGUAGUCCAUGCCGUAAUCGGUGGGCGCUAGGUGUGAGGGUCUUUUCACGACUUUCGUGCCGUAGUUAACGCAUUAAGCGCCCCGCCUGGGGAGUACGGCCGCAAGGCUAAAACUCAAAGGAAGUGACGGGGGCCCGCACAAGCGGCGGAGCAUGUGGAUUAAUUGGAUGCAACGGGAAGAACCUUAAGUGGGCUUGACAUACACGGGAUUGAUGCAGAGAUGUAGUUUCCCUUAGCGGGUGGUGUACAGGUGGCGCAAGGUUGUCGUCAGCUCGUGUCGUGAGAUGUUGGGUUAAGUCCUGCAACGAGCGCAACCCUUGUUCAUGUAGCCAGCAUUUGGUUGGGGAGUCAUGAGAGACUGCUCGGGGUCAACUCGGAGGAAGGUGGGGAUGACGUCAAAUCAUCAUGCCCGUUAGGUGCAGGGCUUCACACAUGCUACAAUGGUCGGUACAACGAGCAGAGACUCUGUGAGGUGGAGCGAAUCGAUGAAACCCGGCCUUAGUUCGGAUUGGGGUGUGCAACUCGACCCCACGAAGUAGGAGUCGUUAGUAAUCGCAGAUCAGGGAUGAGGCGGUGAAUAAGUUCCCGGUCCU